CCUACGGGUGGCAGCAGUGAGGAAUAUUGGUCAAUGGACGAGAGUCUGAACCAGCCAAGUAGCGUGAAGGAUGACUGCCCUAUGGGUUGUAAACUUCUUUUAUAAAGGAAUAAAACAAGGCACGUGUGCCUUUUUGUAUGUACUUUAUGAAUAAGGAUCGGCUAACUCCGUGCCAGCAGCCGCGGUAAUACGGAGGAUCCGAGCGUUAUCCGGAUUUAUUGGGUUUAAAGGGAGCGUAGAUGGGUUGUUAAGUCAGUUGUGAAAGUUUGCGGCUCAACCGUAAAAUUGCAGUUGAUACUGGCAGUCUUGAGUACAGUAGAGGUAGGCGGAAUUCGUGGUGUAGCGGUGAAAUGCUUAGAUAUCACGAAGAACCCCGAUUGCGAAGGCAGCUUACUAGACUGCAACUGACACUGAUGCUCGAAAGUGUGGGUAUCAAACAGGAUUAGAUACCCUUGUAGUC
Molecule: ribosomal RNA, 460 nt
Filed under: uncultured bacterium
Lineage: Bacteria
Description: partial 16S ribosomal RNA
Rfam family: Bacterial small subunit ribosomal RNA
Source: RNAcentral